Molecule: long non-coding RNA, 643 nt
Organism: Rosa rugosa (rugosa rose)
Lineage: Eukaryota; Viridiplantae; Streptophyta; Magnoliopsida; Rosales; Rosaceae
Exons: 3
Source: RefSeq, a predicted model, not a curated record
GUGAGCUGUACCCGUCCCAAGCCUCCCAGAAAGGUCCCCGAGUCACCUCAUAAGGUUGGAAGUAGUUCUUUUGUUCAUAGUGUACCUUGCUUAUGGAUAUGAUGAUGGCAGUGCUCUAUCAUACAUUCUUCUUACAAUUACCAGUUGGUUCAUGGCACUUUCUUGACUUUUUGCUCCCUAUUUGUUCAACCCAUGCCCAUCUGGGUUUGAGUGGCAGAAGUAAGUGUCUUAAGAGGAUUCCUAUCAUUUUAAGGGUUUCAAAAGAAUCCCAUUUUGGGCAGUUUGGUAAUCAAAUCUGGGAGUUAACACUGAGUACUAAUGGAAUUGAUAUAUUUGUCUUAAGCUGAAAGAUUGGUGGGCAUUUGGGUGAAGUUUGCUUAGUCUACGUUACGUGAAAUUGAAAGAACUUUUUGUUUAUGGGGAGCGCAAAUGUUUCCAAAGAUUGAUUGGAAUACUAUUGCAGUUGAGAUUAUUGAUUUGCUGGGUAUUUGAAAACAGAGAGAUAAAGUCAUUUAUAUGAGAUAUUGAAAGCUUGGAUGAAGUGAAGAAGAGGUUCAAGGAAGAGUAGCUGUUUAGCCUUUAGUGAUAUUGUUCUCAAUGUUGUUCUUGUGUUUUAAUGUAUGAAUGAUUGAUAAAUACUAUG